AUCCUUUUGUAGUUCAUAAGUGUGACGAUUGGGUUUUUUCACGCUCAUGUGUGAGAUAUGCCUUCUUUAAAUGUUCUUACACCAUCAGCACAUUAUCCAUCUGACA
This 106-nucleotide small nucleolar RNA is filed under the name Papio anubis (olive baboon). Its description in RNAcentral is "Small nucleolar RNA U13 (ENSPANG00000051372.1)". It matches the Rfam family "Small nucleolar RNA U13". The record is from Rfam by way of RNAcentral. Lineage: Eukaryota; Metazoa; Chordata; Mammalia; Primates; Cercopithecidae.